Long non-coding RNA from Gasterosteus aculeatus aculeatus (three-spined stickleback), 919 nucleotides. The record is from Ensembl. Lineage: Eukaryota; Metazoa; Chordata; Actinopteri; Perciformes; Gasterosteidae.
GGAGCUUUCCAGUUGAGGACCCUGGAAGGACUAUCAUUGGGUUUAAUUCUGCCAUUACGCGGGUUUCCAAAAUAACUUUGGUCUGCCGUGCUGGAGACAUUAGCAUCCAUGUUCGACACACACACACACACACACACACACACUUUGUGUGUGUGUGGUGCGUCGGCGGAGCUAUGAAUGGGCAGAGAGGGGUGUGCUCUCACACACACCGACAUCAUCGUAGCAGCAGUGAGAUGAGGAGUGCCAUCUACUCUACUGCACGUCUGUACUGAGCAGAACGAAGGGAGGAAAAGAGUUGUACAACCUCAAUAUUCCAAAGGAAAUCAUCCAAUCAGCACUUAUCUUCUCUUGAGACGGAUUGUCAAGUCAGCCAUGGAACAGAAGGCAAAUGAGUGUCCCACCACCACGUCUCCUCAGAAGUACAUGAAGAACAGGUCCAAAUCCACAGAGGAGAUGCAACAGACCAAGAAGUCCUUCUCUUCUCAAAAAUCCCUCCCGGGCAGACCAGAGCUGGACAAAGUAAAGGAGUCAUCCGAAGGCUCCGACACGCCGUCGUCCUCCACUGAGGAGCUAAAGUGACAAAGGGAAAGACAUUCGAGUCAAGCCAUCAAGUUACAAAAUCUUAACAUGCAUACAAAUGUAAUUCAAGAAAACAUUCAAAUCAUUAUUCAAGAUAUUUGUGAACUAGAUUAGAAAAUGCACAAGUAAAGGAUUGGUGGAACAAAACAUACAAAAUGGGCCAAAUUGAAGACACACACACACACAGUCCAAAUGAUUGAAUCCAUUGCUUGUAAACCUGUCAUGAUGCUCCUUUGUGGUAAUGUGAGUGGCGUAUACUUACCAAACUGAAUAUAUACAUUCAUUACGUGUGUGUGUACAAUAAAGUGAUGCUGUUAACUGGAUCAGUCUUUAUCAAGAA